UCCCUGAUGGUUCAGUGGCAAAGACUCCAUACUCUCAGCGCAGGGAGCCCAGGUUUGAUCCCUGGUCAGGGAA
Molecule: transfer RNA, 73 nt
Filed under: Bos taurus (domestic cattle)
Lineage: Eukaryota; Metazoa; Chordata; Mammalia; Artiodactyla; Bovidae
Also listed under: 1 other name
Rfam family: tRNA
About the family: Transfer RNA (tRNA) molecules are approximately 80 nucleotides in length. Their secondary structure includes four short double-helical elements and three loops (D, anti-codon, and T loops).
Source: Rfam by way of RNAcentral